This 22-nucleotide microRNA is filed under the name Ciona intestinalis (vase tunicate). Its description in RNAcentral is "Cin-Mir-4030_5p (mature (guide))". The record is from RNAcentral. Lineage: Eukaryota; Metazoa; Chordata; Ascidiacea; Phlebobranchia; Cionidae.
AAAGUGCAACUUUGAUAGUGUG